CACUAGGCCCUGCCAUGCCGGCAGCCCCGCCCCCACCUUUCAUUCAUUACUGGCUGCUGGGAGCUUUCAGGUUUCUCCACUGUGAGGAAGAUCUUAUGUUUUCAACAAAAGAAGAGGCUUAUGUGCUCCACCCGCCUUGGCCUCUCAAAGUGCUGGGAUUACAGGCGUGACCCACUGCAGUCGGACAGGUAAGCACUUUUAAUUAAUUAUGUACUAGGUGCAUAGCUCCAGACAAAGAACAAUGCCUAGAAUUAGACUUCUGCUUAUGUAGAAGGAUCAAGUAUAAGGGCAUGAAUUUGUAGACAACUAAAGCAAGUAUCAGAAGAAAAAUUUUAACUUAAAUGAUCUGCCAGGGGCACUGAUUAAUUCGAAACAAAUUUCUAAAUUUUGGAGACAUUUUUAUUUUAUCUGUUAUCUUAAAACUAUCUAUAUAUAGCUAUAUAUAGGAUAUAUAUAUAUGAUAGGGCCUCACUCUCGCCCAGGCUGGAGUGAUUUAUGUAAUCUUUCUCAUCCUCGGUUUAUCUAAAAAAUAUGAAUAAUAACACAAAUUUUAUAAACUUGCUCUAAAGAUUAAAUGAGGGAAAUAUAAUACUGCUCCUUCCAUAUAUUGAAUGCUUACAAAAUUACAGGCAUUGUGUCUAGAUUUUUACAUAUGUACCAUACGUAAGCCUCAUAACAAGCCCAUUUUUAAAGGUGAGAAAACUGAGACUCAGAUGAGCUAAAAACACAUUCACGAUCAUGUAGUAAUAAGCGAUGGAACUGGGAUUCAAUCCAGUUCUGUCUGACUCCAAAGGUGGUGCAUCAUCUUAACGAAGACCAAGUUAUACCCAGCACAUGAAGGUACUCAAAAGAUGUGGAUUCCCUUUUACUAUCCCCUUAUGUGUGAAUUUCAGUGGCUUUCACAACCUCAGAACAACCCCACACACCCUCCCAGGUUGCCUUUCAGUGGUUCCAUUCUUCCUGGGGAUGAUUAGGAAUCUGCAUAUUUAGACUACUUCUUCAAUCAUCUCCUUACAAACAUGUGUGGAUAAAGAAAUGAAAUUUUCUAGGCCGUAGGUUACUAACUGUGAAUUAAUUGUCUAGUUUAUUUAUUGCAAAUUUAUUUGCAAUACAUUUAUUAUAUGAAAAAAAAUCACACUGUCUACUGAAUUUGUGCAGAAAGAUCCCAAAGUACACUGCAGGAACAUCUUACUGACUACACAGGAAGGCUAGCCCAAACACACAAAGCCAGAGUCCCUCCAAAGGUCAGGUGUGGGGUGGUUCUUUCCUGUAAUCCUAGCAAUUUGGAAGGCCAAAGUGAGUGAAUCACUUAGGGCCAGGAAUUCGAGUCCAGGCUGGCCAACACAGUGAGAGCCAGUCUGCAUAAAAAAUUACUUUUUAUUAGUAUAAUUAAAAAGAGUACCUCUAACAUUGCUUUAGGAUAGAGAGCUCUGGUCUAGAAUUCAAGAUAUGGAGUUACGAGUCCCAGUGUGGUUACUUAACUACUGUUGUGACUGUGGGCAGGUUAUAUAAUCACUGUGAUUCUCAGCCCUUUCUUUGCAAAUAACCAGCAUUGGAAUAGAUGACUUUUUAAAGCCCUGACCAGCUCUACCAUUCAAUGAUUCUGUAUCAGUGGAUACUUGUCAAAACCAUAAUUUACUUGUCUAGUGAUGCCCUGAGGUGUUCCUGUGGUCACAGGAAAUGUGGAAAUAAUAUAGUCAUAUUGGUCAUAGGAAUUAUGACCAUAUGGUCAAAUAUGGUCGUAGGAAAUAAAUUUGGCUUUGCUUUUAAAAUGGGUGAUUUAACCACAUGGAAUCUAUGACUAUUUUGAGAAACAACAUGAGACAGUCAAUGUGAUGCAGCCUGAUGUGGUCCCAAAGCGUUUCUGCAGGAUAAGAAACUCACUCACAAAAGCAUUCACUUCCCCGUGAAUAUACCAGUGAAUCCUCUAGCCACAAAAACUUACAGUCCAUAUAUGUUGUAAUGUCUAAUACUUGUGUGAAUUACUGCAUUCAUAACGCACUCCUUGAAAGGGUAUGGCCUGCUUCCCAAAGUCCUUGGUACUGGAAGCCCAACUUCCAUUCAGUAACUGGAAAGCCCUCUCCCACCUUCUCCCAUUUCCUUCCAUGACUGCUGGAUUAUGAAGGAACUGAAAACCACAAUAAGUGAGGACUGGUUAAAGAAACAAGUGAUGUUUAUCCUGAGAAUGACUGACAACAUUUCAGUGAAAAAAUGAGAGUAGUAUUUGAAUAACUGAAGGUCUACCGCAGAAGAGGGUUUCAGCUGGAUGUGUUCUGCAGACUCCUAGGAUCCACGGCAUGGAACCAUGCACCUCCUUGCACUGUCACUCAGCUACUCAGAACAUCUCUUGAACAUCUCUUGAACAAUUCUGUUGUUG
This 2377-nucleotide long non-coding RNA is filed under the name Homo sapiens (human). RNAcentral describes it as "HSALNT0385489". The record is from RNAcentral. Lineage: Eukaryota; Metazoa; Chordata; Mammalia; Primates; Hominidae.